CACGAUUUAAUCUGAGCCGUCCGAUCGCGAUUAAAAUGGGAAUAAAUCUGGACCGUCCAUCGCGAUGAGAUCUGGGCUGGGUACCUGGCUGUAGGUCUGUUGUGAACUCGACUUCCCUGUCCACUGGUAGUCCGGAUAGUUCGUCCGGAAACACAUCUGGAAAGUCUCGGACUACUGAAAUCUCUUGGAUACAAAUUUCCUUCUUGGCCU
This 210-nucleotide long non-coding RNA is filed under the name Carica papaya (papaya). RNAcentral describes it as "long non-coding RNA (CPAP_LNC012166)". The record is from RNAcentral. Lineage: Eukaryota; Viridiplantae; Streptophyta; Magnoliopsida; Brassicales; Caricaceae.